Molecule: long non-coding RNA, 549 nt
Organism: Leucoraja erinaceus (little skate)
Lineage: Eukaryota; Metazoa; Chordata; Chondrichthyes; Rajiformes; Rajidae
Exons: 3
Source: RefSeq, a predicted model, not a curated record
CAGGGAGGGGGCGGAGGAACAGGGGGGACGAAAGCUUCCAGCGAGCAUUGCGAAUUGGGCGCAAGCGCAUUGGAACGGCGGCGUCUGGAGGAGAGUUGGCAUAGUUGAUCUUGGAGCCCAGAUUCAACACCCUCUGACCAAAGAAAAUCCUCCUCAUCUACUUUCUAAAGGCAGACUGGUGCAGCCUGGAAGAUUGUGAUGCAAAGCUGUUUAUACUGGCUAUAAGCGUGGUCUUCGAAACCAAAAAAAUAGCCUACCCUCUACUGAUGAUUGAUGGUGUUUAUUGCCGUGAUGAAACAGAUCUACACACUGGCAAAAUAUGUGCACAUGGUCUACAAAGCAAAGAACAAUGCUGUCCCUCCUGGAGGUACACCAAAUAAAACUCAUGUCAUUUGAGGUAAAGUGGCUCCUUCUCAUGGUAACAGUGGCACAUUCCAUGCCAAGUUCAGAAGGCUAUUGGGCAAAGGAUUCAUAUGAUGCUGGACUCGUUGAAAAUGUAAAGCAAACCUGUACAUGAAUUGCAAAUAAAUGGUAAAAUGGUCUAAAUAA